Molecule: transfer RNA, 86 nt
Filed under: Patescibacteria group bacterium
Lineage: Bacteria
Description: tRNA-Leu
Rfam family: tRNA
About the family: Transfer RNA (tRNA) molecules are approximately 80 nucleotides in length. Their secondary structure includes four short double-helical elements and three loops (D, anti-codon, and T loops). Further hydrogen bonds mediate the characteristic L-shaped molecular structure. tRNAs have two regions of fundamental functional importance: the anti-codon, which is responsible for specific mRNA codon recognition, and the 3' end, to which the tRNAs corresponding amino acid is attached (by aminoacyl-tRNA synthetases). tRNAs cope with the degeneracy of the genetic code in two manners: having more than one tRNA (with a specific anti-codon) for a particular amino acid; and 'wobble' base-pairing, i.e. permitting non-standard base-pairing at the 3rd anti-codon position.
Source: RNAcentral
GGGCGAGUGGUGGAAUGGUAUACACGAAGGACUUAAAAUCCUUUGGCAGCAAUGCUAUGAGGGUUCGACUCCCUCCUCGCCCACCA